CAUUUAUGGAUGCAUAUCUCGGGAACUGAGAAUAAUGCCCGAUAGAACAUUAUGCCUGGAAUGGUUUAUGUUUCAAAUGAUUUAUCGCCAUAGGAUGGGACUGCGGCCUAUCAGUUUGUUGGUGAGGUAAUGGCCCACCAAGACUAUUACAGGUACGGGCUCUGAGAGGAGUGGCCCGGAGAUGGGUACUGAGACGCGGACCCAGGCCCUAUGGGGCGCAGCAGGCGAGAAAACUUUGCAAUGUGCGAAAGCACGACAAGGUUAAUCCGAGUGGUUUCUGCUAAAGAAACCUUUUGCCAGUCCUAGAAACACUGGUGAAUAAGGGGUGGGCAAGUUCUGGUGUCAGCCGCCGCGGUAAAACCAGCACCUCAAGUGGUCAGGAUGAUUAUUGGGCCUAAAGCAUCCGUAGCUCGUUUUGUAAGUUUUCGGUUAAAUCCAUGCGCUUAACGUAUGGGCUGCCGGGAAUACUGCAUAACUAGGAAGUGGGAGAGGUAGACGGUACUCGGUAGGAAGGGGUAAAAUCCUUUGAUCUAUUGAUGACCACCUGUGGCGAAGGCGGUCUACCAGAACACGUUCGACGGUGAGGGAUGAAAGCUGGGGGAGCAAACCGGAUUAGAUACCCGGGUAGUCCCAGCUGUAAACUAUGCAAACUCAGUGAUGCAUUGGCUUGUGGCCAAUGCAGUGCUGCAAGGAAGCCGUUAAGUUUGCCGCCUGGGAAGUACGUACGCAAGUAUGAAACUUAAAGGAAUUGGCGGGGGAGCAC
RNAcentral lists this ribosomal RNA (763 nucleotides) under uncultured archaeon. RNAcentral describes it as "bacterial SSU rRNA". It matches the Rfam family "Archaeal small subunit ribosomal RNA", at positions 111 to 879 of the family's 1478-position model. The record is from RNAcentral.